Molecule: long non-coding RNA, 2882 nt
Organism: Sorghum bicolor (sorghum)
Lineage: Eukaryota; Viridiplantae; Streptophyta; Magnoliopsida; Poales; Poaceae
Exons: 5
Source: RefSeq, a predicted model, not a curated record
GACGACAUCAAUAACGGAAUUCCAGAUCUAGGUUUUGCAACCCGAGACCGCGAGAGAGAACGGCGAAAGCGAUGGAGAUCGAAGCUCAGGCAGCACAGGGCGUGGGAAGCGCGUUUGGUGGCGGAGGCGAGAGCUGCGUGGGAGAGGAAGGCAAAGGGGGAGGUAGAGGAUGGCGACGAACCCUAUUCUUUUAUGGGAGCUACCUGCAUUUUUGCCAGGCGGCCUUCUUGCAAGCAAUCAGACAAGCGAUGAGUUUCAUGAGACAUUACAAAGGUUGCAUGGAGGGUAAAUAAAGGUACAUUGGUUUGACUCCUAGUUUUAUCACUAUGACUACUAAUGUAGCAUCCUCUGCCAAUUUUAGUUGCAGUAACCCAGCCCUGAUGCUCCCCUAACUAGUAAGCAAUCCUGGCUAUCUAUGCUAUUUCAACACAACAGCAUGUUUGAUGAAAAUAUUAUGGAAGUCAAAAUUGAAUCUAAGAUAGACAGAUUUCUCAAUAUAUCGAAAAUGAACCCAAUCUGAUCUUGUGCUUCAUAUAUUCUUUGUGUUGAUGAUUUUUAUACUGACCUGUUUAGCUAUAUGCUUAAUUCCCUUCGAUUUAUGACCAGGUGCUUUUUGUUUCCCCUGAAAGAUUCUUUAAUGAAGAAUUUCUGCUAAUAUUUAGGAAUGGGCUACCAAUAUGUCUAGUUGCUAUUGAUGAAGCUCACUUCAUUUCUGAAUGGUGAGUUGAUAUGUCCUUGAGUUCAAUUGAGAUACUGUAUGCUGUUCUUUGCAGUUAGUACCAAAGCUUUUCUCUUUUCUGCUUUCUAUCUGCUUGUUUUAUUUGACACAUCCUAUGAUCGUUGUUGUUCUUCUCUCUUCUUGCUUAUAUGUGCUUGCUCUGCUCUGCUCAUUACUUAUUGUUAGUUCAACAAUGUUUAUGUCUUGAUAUUGAGCUAUGGGAAGGUCUCAUAAUUUUAGACCUUUGUAUCUAAGGCUCCUCGUGUUACUACUUCGAAGAAAACUUAAUGUUCAAUAUAUUCUUGCAAUGAAUGCAACUGCGACAACUCAAACCUUGGAGGAGAUGUGACUGCCUUAGAAAUACCAUCUGAUAACCUCAUUAAAGCAUCUUAAAAUAAGGGGCAAUCUGCAGCUGUCUAUCAGCACGAGCAAUAGUAGACUGAAGGAUCUAUUGCUGACUUGCUGUUGUUGAAGUCUUCACCUUUUGUUGACAUGAAAGUAUAAUUGUCUAUUGCAAGCUUCAGGUGAUUCACUAUAGCUUGCCAGAAAGCUGAGAAGAAUACAUACAGGAAACUGGGCACGCUGGGAGGGAUGGGCGAUUGUCAUAUUGUCAUAUACUUCUUGAUUCAACAACAUUCUAUAAGAGCCGUAGUCUGAAUGGUAUUUUUUGAAGUAAUGCAUCACAUCAUCUGUAUCGAAAAUAGGAUUCUGUGGGAAAAAAUAGCUAUUAGACUGCAGUUAUGCCAAUAAAAUACUGAAUAACGGUUACCCCAGUAAAUUUUACAUGACUUUAUUCACCACUAGGAAUUCAUGUAGAUAAUGCGCAUCUAGUUUUUAAGAAAAUACGUACAUAUAUUCAUGACUCCAUACCUGCUGAUCUGUGAUAUAACCUGGUGGUCCUAUAUAAUCUGUCUUGUCUAGUUGCACCUUCGUGUUCUUUUACUAAUUUUUAUCCAUAUCAGUCGCAUGGUUACAGUUCAAUGAGUUGUGUCUGUUGCCCUUUUUAUUGAGAGCAUAAAGAUUGAUUAUGUAGUAAUAUGUUUAGCAGUUAAGAAUGUUGACUUGCUAGUGGUGUGCCUUUUUUUAGCCAUUGUCUAACUCCUUUUCUGCUUCAGAUUUGUAGAGUUGUUCCUAUGUUGGCUCGUUUUAAUUUCUAUUUCUCCUCUAUUCAGUUCUCUGGAGAAAUUUCAUUUGAAUUAAAAGAUCCAGCCUGCAUUUACGUGAUCUUAAAGAAGCCAGAUGACUUGAACGCACUUUCAGCGAAUAUCAUAAAAUGACUUUCUGAAGUAGAAAAUUCAAUGGUGCCCUGCAAGCCUCCUUCAAAUGCUCCCACCCCUUUUCCAUAAGUAGUGUUCUAUUUGUUUCUUAUCCAAACAUUAAAUGAAGUUAUUUGAGUAUCUAGGAUCUUUUUUUAAAAAAAAUUGUUAGCCAAUAUACUUCUGAAAAUAAUACGUGUUCCUAGUUCGUCGUAACCAAUCUGUGGUUCUUUGUUGUACAGAUCAGUAAACUGGAUGCUAUGUUUGAUCUAGCAAACUUUGCUGUCAAGGGGUGCCAUUCUUGGUUGACUUGGGCUCUCUUUAAUACCUUCGUAUCACAUGUUUUCUGUGAGUGAUGAAAGUAUUUCCACUGCUGGUGCUUUACGCCCAUGUUAAAUGCGAUUAGCCUUGUUUGUUUGCUUGAUAAGCUAUGACAGAAAGCAUUGUUCGCAGAUUUGUUGUGAGUGCUGAAUGGCUUUGCAUUCUUCAACCUGAAACUUGUGUUGUGGGCUUGUUGCUGUUGCUGACCACUUACCAUGAGUACCUGCACUUACCAUGCUCUUUCCAGAAGACGGCGAAACUCAGAACUCAGAAUAAGGUGAUCCCUGCAGCUGUCCUCUGCUAGGGUAGCGCAGUAGCACCUUCUGGUUUAGCUGUUCUUGGGACUUCUUUUUUUUCCUGGAAAUUCAUUUUUUCCGUCUUUCCAGCAUUUCUUUCUACAUGUUGAUGCAUCCAGCUACAGCUGUUUUAGCUCUAGCUAGCAUCCUUCGUGCAGACGGUGCAGUACUGUAUUCUGUAGCUGAGGUCAGGCCGUCAGGGUGUGAUGAGUUACGGUGCAGCACUGUAUUCUGUAGCAGUACAUGCUUGCCUUGCCCUGCCUUUCCCGGCUGGAGCUCGGCCAUUAGUUC